AGCCUAAAGUUUCUUUUUAGGUAAAUCCUGCCCAAUGAUAAUUUUAAUGGCCGCAGUACUCUGACUGUGCUAAGGUAGCAUAAUCAAUUGGCUUUUAAUUGGAGUCUGGAAUGAACGGAUUAAUGGAAGUAAGCUGUCUCGUUUUUUAUUAUAGAACUUGGUAAGUGGGUGAAAAUGCCCACAUAUAGAAAAAAGACGAUAAGACCCUAGUGAAUUUUUAUAAAAAGUGUGAUCCACCUUUUUUUUGUUGGGGCGACAUAGAAGCAUUGAACCUUCUAGGCAACAUGCCGAUAUUUUCAAGAAAGAAUAAAUUACCAUAGGGAUAACAGCACAAUUAGUUAACUAGCUUAUGACCUCGAUGUUGGACUAGGAAUUAUUUUGGCUAAGUCGUCAAAAUAUGCUGUUCUGUUCGAACAUUAUUUUCCUACAU
This 430-nucleotide ribosomal RNA is filed under the name Aiteng ater. Its description in RNAcentral is "partial 16S ribosomal RNA". It matches the Rfam family "Bacterial large subunit ribosomal RNA", at positions 1829 to 2601 of the family's 2925-position model. Lineage: Eukaryota; Metazoa; Mollusca; Gastropoda; Acochlidiacea; Aitengidae. The record is from RNAcentral.